GAUGAACGCUGGCGGCGUGCCUAAUACAUGCAAGUCGAGCGAACGGACGAGAAGCUUGCUUCUCUGAUGUUAGCGGCGGACGGGUGAGUAACACGUGGAUAACCUACCUAUAAGACUGGGAUAACUUCGGGAAACCGGAGCUAAUACCGGAUAAUAUUUUGAACCGCAUGGUUCAAAAGUGAAAGACGGUCUUGCUGUCACUUAUAGAUGGAUCCGCGCUGCAUUAGCUAGUUGGUAAGGUAACGGCUUACCAAGGCAACGAUGCAUAGCCGACCUGAGAGGGUGAUCGGCCACACUGGAACUGAGACACGGUCCAGACUCCUACGGGAGGCAGCAGUAGGGAAUCUUCCGCAAUGGGCGAAAGCCUGACGGAGCGACGCCGCGUGAGUGAUGAAGGUCUUCGGAUCGUAAAACUCUGUUAUCAGGGAAGAACAUAUGUGUAAGUAACUGUGCACAUCUUGACGGUACCUAAUCAGAAAGCCACGGCUAACUACGUG
This 497-nucleotide ribosomal RNA is filed under the name uncultured bacterium. RNAcentral describes it as "partial 16S ribosomal RNA". It matches the Rfam family "Bacterial small subunit ribosomal RNA", at positions 28 to 507 of the family's 1533-position model. The record is from RNAcentral.